CUGCAAAUCUUGGUGCUGUCAGUGACAAGCAUGGUGAAAGGUUUCACCAGGACAUUGCGGUCAUGGAGAAACAACAUCAGGCCAAAAGAACUCCAUCAAUGCUGGCUGAUUCUUGUUGAACACAAAUGCUGCUUGACCUGAUGAGUUCCUCCAGAAUUUUGUGUGUGUUACGUUGGACUUCCAGCAUCUGCAGAAUCUCUUGUGAUUAUGAGGGUUCUUUUGAAGACCCUGACCUGGAGUUACACGCAGGCUUCGGUUCUUUGUGGGAAUGGCACCCGCUCUCGGGGUGUUAUGACUGGCUGUUAUCCGACAUGCCAAGGGUUCGGCCUAAGAGUUCAGUUCGCCUUUGGAGGCCUAGGAUCUCGGGGCUCUGGAGACGGGCGGAUCGAAGGUCAGUGUCCUGGACCGGUGUGUUGUGGGAGUGGGAAGAUCAAAGACCUGAGAUCUUUGGACACAGAACUCGGAAAAAGCAACGCAACUGACUUUUGAAAUCGUAAACCAAUGAGUUGUUUGUUAUAUCUCCCCUCUCGCUGUGAAACGGAGAAAUUUCUUUCUUCCUUUUUAGGGAGAGAGAGUCUGUGGUAUGUCGAAUACCGGGUGAAGGAGUAGU
Long non-coding RNA from Hypanus sabinus (Atlantic stingray), 610 nucleotides. RefSeq lists it as uncharacterized. The record is from RefSeq and is a predicted model, not a curated record. The transcript has 3 exons. Lineage: Eukaryota; Metazoa; Chordata; Chondrichthyes; Myliobatiformes; Dasyatidae.